AUUGAACGCUGGCGGCAUGCCUUACACAUGCAAGUCGAACGGUAACGGGCCUUCGGGUGCCGACGAGUGGCGAACGGGUGAGUAAUACAUCGGAACGUGCCCGAUCGUGGGGGAUAACGAGGCGAAAGCUUUGCUAAUACCGCAUACGAUCUACGGAUGAAAGCAGGGGACCGCAAGGCCUUGCGCGGACGGAGCGGCCGAUGGCAGAUUAUGUAGUUGGUGGGAUUAAAGCUUACCAAGCCGACGAUCUGUAGCUGGUCUGAGAGGAUGAUCCGCCACACUGGGACUGAGACACGGCCCAGACUCCUACGGGAGGCAGCAGUGGGGAAUGUUGGACAAUGGGCGCAAGCCUGAUCCAGCCAUGCCGCGUGCAGGAUGAAGGCCUUCGGGUUGUAGACUGCUUUUGUACGGAACGAAAAGCAUUCUUUUAAUACAGGAGGGUCAUGACGGUACCGUAAGAAUAAGCACCGGCUAACUACGUG
RNAcentral lists this ribosomal RNA (482 nucleotides) under uncultured bacterium. RNAcentral describes it as "partial 16S ribosomal RNA". It matches the Rfam family "Bacterial small subunit ribosomal RNA", at positions 30 to 507 of the family's 1533-position model. The record is from RNAcentral.